GUCUUUUCCUGUUAAUUGUGUUUCUAUAUGUUUAUAAGUUUCUCCAUAGUUGGAGCACCGUCUAUUUGUUAAAACACCCCUAAAGUUGGUAUAAUCUUGAUUUUCACCCCUUUAAGUAUAAUGGACCGUUCCAUAUGGUAGUAUAUAAACCAGCUCAAGACAGAGAAACUUUGUCAGUUAUAUGUGGACCGUUGAAGUGAUUACAUCAGGGAUUAUUUUCCAACUGGUAAGUAGAGUGAAUU
This 242-nucleotide long non-coding RNA is filed under the name Mytilus galloprovincialis (Mediterranean mussel). The record is from RNAcentral. Lineage: Eukaryota; Metazoa; Mollusca; Bivalvia; Mytilida; Mytilidae.